This 21-nucleotide transfer RNA is filed under the name Aizoon canariense. RNAcentral's name for it is "partial transfer RNA-Leu". The record is from RNAcentral. Lineage: Eukaryota; Viridiplantae; Streptophyta; Magnoliopsida; Caryophyllales; Aizoaceae.
GAGGAAAAUCCGUCGACUUUA